RNAcentral lists this unclassified non-coding RNA (376 nucleotides) under soil metagenome. RNAcentral's name for it is "partial contains 5.8S ribosomal RNA, internal transcribed spacer 2, and large subunit ribosomal RNA". The stretch from base 1 to 120 matches the Rfam family "5.8S ribosomal RNA", at positions 35 to 154 of the family's 154-position model. The record is from RNAcentral.
GAUGAAGAACGUAGCGAAAUGCGAUAAGUAAUGUGAAUUGCAGAAUUCAGUGAAUCAUCGAAUCUUUGAACGCAUCUUGCGCUCCUUGGUAUUCUGAGGAGCAUCCCUGUUUGAGUGUCAUUAAAUUCUCAACUACACUGACUUUGAAUUGGUGUGGCUUGGAUUUGGGGGGAAAAUUGUUGUGGGCUUUUUGUAUAGUCUGCUCCCCUGAAAUUGAUUAGCGGUACCUUUGUGGAACUGUCUACAGGUGUGAUAAUUAUCUACAUCUUAGACAUCUGCUGGAAUGCUGCUUUCUAAACCUUACUUGUAUUGACAAUCUUGACCUUAAAUCAGGUAGGACUACCCGCUGAACUUAAGCAUAUCAAUAAGCGGAGGA